AACUAUAACGGUCCUAAGGUAGCGAAAUUCCUUGUCGGGUAAGUUCCGACCCGCAUGAAAGGCGUAAUGAUUUGGGCACUGUCUCAACGAGGGGCCCGGUGAAAUUGAAAUACCUGUGAAGAUGCAGGUUACCCGCGACUGGACAGAAAGACCCCAUGGAGCUUUACUGCAGCUUGAGAUGGAAUCUCGGAAGUAGAUGCACAGGAUAGGUGGGAGACAAAGAAGUAUGUACUUAGGUAUGUAUGGAGUCGAUGUUGGGAUACCACCCUUCUAGUUCUGGGAUUCUAACGCCAGGAGUAACGACCCUGCGGACAAUCUCAGGUAGGCAGUUUGACUGGGGCGGUCGCCUCCGAAAGAGUAACGGAGGCGCCCAAAGGUUCCCUCAGGUCGGACAGAAACCGACCGACGAGUGCAAAGGCAGAAGGGAGCUUGACUGCGAGACCAACAAGUCGAGCAGAGACGAAAGUCGGGCUUAGUGAUCCGGUGGUACUGUGUGGAAAGGCCAUCGCUCAACGGAUAAAAGCUACCCUGGGGAUAACAGGCUAAUCUCUCCCAAGAGUUCAUAUCGACGGGGAGGUUUGGCACCUCGAUGUCGGCUCAUCACAUCCUGGGGCUGGAGUAGGUCCCAAGGGUUGGGCUGUUCGCCCAUUAAAGUGGUACGCGAGCUGGGUUCAAAACGUCGUGAGACAGUUUGGUUCAUAUCCAUCGCGGGCGUAAGAAGUUUGAGGGGGGCUGCUCCUAGUACGAGAGGACCGGAGUGGACGAAUCAAUGGUGUACCAGUUGUCACGCCAGUGGCAUGGCUGGAAAGCCACAUUCGGAAGGGAUAAACGCUGAAAGCAUCUAAGCGUGAAGCCCACCCCAAGAUGAGACUUCUCAUCAGAAAUGAGUAAGAUCCCUUAUAGACUAUGAGGUAGAUAGGCCGCAAGUGGAAGAGCAGUGAUGUUUGGAGCGAUGCGGUACUAAUAGAUCGAGGUCUUAACUUA
Molecule: ribosomal RNA, 984 nt
Filed under: human gut metagenome
Description: bacterial LSU rRNA
Rfam family: Bacterial large subunit ribosomal RNA
Source: RNAcentral